RNAcentral lists this ribosomal RNA (235 nucleotides) under uncultured bacterium. RNAcentral describes it as "partial 16S ribosomal RNA". It matches the Rfam family "Bacterial small subunit ribosomal RNA", at positions 99 to 334 of the family's 1533-position model. The record is from RNAcentral.
CGGACGGGUGAGUAACGCGUGGGUAACCUGCCUCACACUGGGGGAUAACAGUUAGAAAUAGCUGCUAAUACCGCAUAAGCGCACAGUUCCGCAUGGAACAGUGUGAAAAACUCCGGUGGUAUGAGAUGGACCCGCGUCUGAUUAGCUAGUUGGUGGGGUAACGGCCUACCAAGGCGACGAUCAGUAGCCGACCUGAGAGGGUGACCGGCCACAUUGGGACUGAGACACGGCCCAA